Molecule: ribosomal RNA, 253 nt
Filed under: uncultured bacterium
Lineage: Bacteria
Description: partial 16S ribosomal RNA
Rfam family: Bacterial small subunit ribosomal RNA
Source: RNAcentral
UACGUAGGGUGCGAGCGUUGUCCGGAAUUACUGGGCGUAAAGAGCUCGUAGGUGGUUUGUCGCGUUGUUCGUGAAAACCGGGGGCUUAACCCUCGGCGUGCGGGCGAUACGGGCAGACUGGAGUACUGCAGGGGAGACUGGAAUUCCUGGUGUAGCGGUGGAAUGCGCAGAUAUCAGGAGGAACACCGGUGGCGAAGGCGGGUCUCUGGGCAGUAACUGACGCUGAGGAGCGAAAGUGUGGGGAGCGAACAGG